UACAGAGGCCCCGAGCGUUAUCCGGAAUCAUUGGGCGUAAAGGGUGUCGAGGCGGUCAUGUUAGUCGUGUGUAAAAUCCGAAGGCUCAACCUUCGGCCCGCAUACGAAACGGCAUGACUUGAGGUUGGAAGAGGUGCGUGGAACUCACGGUGUAGGGGUGAAAUCCGUUGAUAUCGUGGGGAACACCAAAGGCGAAGGCAGCGCACUGGUCCAAAUCUGACGCUCACACACGAAAGCCAGGGUAGCGAAUGGG
RNAcentral lists this ribosomal RNA (253 nucleotides) under uncultured bacterium. Its description in RNAcentral is "partial 16S ribosomal RNA". It matches the Rfam family "Bacterial small subunit ribosomal RNA", at positions 524 to 776 of the family's 1533-position model. The record is from RNAcentral.